Non-coding RNA from Gossypium raimondii (Peruvian cotton), 107 nucleotides. Lineage: Eukaryota; Viridiplantae; Streptophyta; Magnoliopsida; Malvales; Malvaceae. The record is from Rfam.
AACCAACGGUGAGGGCACCGUCUUAAUAAGCUCUUAUACCUCUCCCAUGCAUCAUAUAAAGUCUUUAAAUCGAUCUACACAAAGGAGGAGAUACUAUUCCUCAACUU